Long non-coding RNA from Oncorhynchus tshawytscha (Chinook salmon), 459 nucleotides. NCBI's taxonomy places the organism in Eukaryota, Metazoa, Chordata, Actinopteri, Salmoniformes, Salmonidae. The record is from Ensembl.
GUAUGAUGUUGUGAGGUGUAUGGUAUUGUGGGGUGUAUGGUGUUGUGGGGUGUAUGGUGUUAUGGGGUGUAUGGUGUUAUGGGGUGUAUGGUGUUGUGGGUGUAUGGUAUUGUGGGUGUAUGGUGUUAUGGUGUUGUGGGGUGUAUGGUUUUAUGGGGUGUAUGGUGCUAUGGGGUGAAUGGUUUUAUGGGGUGUAUGGUGUUGUGGCGUGUAUGGUGUUUUGGGGUGUAUGGUGUUAUGGGGUGUAUGGUGUUAUAGGGUGUAUGGUGUUAUGGGUGUAUGGUGUUAUGGGGUGUAUGGUGUUAUAGGGUGUAUGGUGUAUGGUGUUGUGGGGUGUAUGGUGUAAUGGGGUGUAUGGUUUUAUGGUGUUGUGAGGUGUAUGGUGUUAUGGGGUGUAUGGUGUUGUAUGGUGUAUGGUGUUGUGGGGUGUAUGGUGUUGUGGGGUGUAUGGUGUUGGGG